Ictalurus punctatus (channel catfish) is the source of this 1058-nucleotide long non-coding RNA. The record is from Ensembl. Lineage: Eukaryota; Metazoa; Chordata; Actinopteri; Siluriformes; Ictaluridae.
AUAAUACAGGUAUAAUUUUAAAUUCACUCUUGUACGCCUCAUGAGUUUGGAGUCAUAGAUCUUCUUUAUUAUUAUUAUUCUUUCGGGUUUUUUUGCAUGUUUUUGUGUCUGAUCCCCGUAGCCAGUUGAACCGGCGUCGUUACCGAGCGAUCUGACAGCGCUGUCGAGUUCUGGAUUGUGAUUGGUCGGAAGGUGUCGAUUUAGUUCUCUAUAACACGGCAGCUCUGACAGCGCUGUCGAGUUCUGGAUUGUGAUUGGUCGGAAGGUGUGGAUUUAGUUCUCUAUAACGGCAGCUCUGACAGCGCUGUCGAGUUCUGGAUUGUGAUUGGUCGGAAGGUGUCGAUUUAGUUCUCUAUAACACGGCAGCUCUGACCGUAGCGCAGGUUUACAUUAAUUCGCUCGUUCUGAUGCGCCGUCGUUUCUAUAGUAACGGCUCGUUCACAGGGACUCGGGUCACUGAUGAUGAACAGAUUUUUUUAAAAAUCGUCGACGCGGUGGAGUUUUCUGUAAGGAGAUGAUUGUUUAUCUAACACUUCAUGGAAGUGUCGGAGGUAAAGCUGUAACUAAGUUUUUUUCCAGACAUUUUCUUUGGUUUCUCGGAGUGUUUGUAGCUGCUGUAACGUAAGCGGGAACAGGAAGUGACUCGUUUCACAGAACAGUAAAGAUGACUAUAUACGGAUUAAAAAUUGUUUAAUAAAUAAAGAAUUGUAAUCGUUGCGAGUCUCUGUGGCAAAAGAGGAAUAAAACGCUCGCUCUUGUAGGAAAGUCUGCUGCGUUCCAGUUUCAGUUCUCUGGUACAGCUGGCUACAUUUCUCUUGCGCUCUGUCUUGCUCUCUCUCUCGACCCCCCGCGAGUUAUUUUGACUGAAUCCAUGACUUGACUUGAAUCCAUGAUGCAGGUGGAACCCAACUUCUUUUAUUAUUAUUAUUACCUAUAGAACCUGUAAUGAAACAAAGAACUUCUUUCAUCUCCAAAGACAGUUCCAUAUAGCUCCACUCAAGACAAUGAAAAACGGUUCUUGACCAGAAGGUUCUUUGCAGAACCUUUAAAGAACCAUU